AGGUAAGGCCUAAGAGAGCAUGCAAGAGCAGAUGAUAUGGGGCUAUUUUCCUUCUCCCGACGUUAUAUCAUUCUGGUCUUAUUACUCUCUGCAGCAAUCUUGGCCAUGCAGCCUUAUCAAAUCAGUGCAGAUAUUGAAGUAAGAAAACUAGCUACCAAACCUUUUCCAAGUCCUCCCCCUCCAAUAGCGAACCUGGGGAAAAGCCCAAACCUACGAAGUCCAGUUCCUCGGGUUAAAGGUGCACCAAAACCAAGAAAACCUCCCAGUAGUCCUGUGGUGCAGACAUGAUCAGUAAAAUUUUUUAUACUUACAAUAUCUCUUAAUUAGAAGAGUGACAAAGAGUUUGAUUAGCAUAAGUUCUUGAAGAAGCAAUAGUGGAAUAUUUCUGCGUACUUUCAUUUUAUGAGAUCUAUUAAAUAAGGUUAAAU
Molecule: long non-coding RNA, 428 nt
Organism: Juglans regia (Persian walnut)
Lineage: Eukaryota; Viridiplantae; Streptophyta; Magnoliopsida; Fagales; Juglandaceae
Exons: 2
Source: RefSeq, a predicted model, not a curated record